UUGAACGCUGGCGGCAGGCCUAACCCAUGCCAGUCGAGCGGAUGAAGGGAGCUUGCUCCUGGAUUCAGCGGCGGACGGGUGAGUAAUGCCUAGGAAUCUGCCUGGUAGUGGGGGAUAACGUCCGGAAACGGGCGCUAAUACCGCAUACGUCCUGAGGGAGAAAGUGGGGGAUCUUCGGACCUCACGCUAUCAGAUGAGCCUAGGUCGGAUUAGCUAGUUGGUGGGGUAAAGGCCUACCAAGGCGACGAUCCGUAACUGGUCUGAGAGGAUGAUCAGUCACACUGGAACUGAGACACGGUCCAGGCUCCUACGGGAGGCAGCAGUGGGGAAUAUUGGACAAUGGGCGAAAGCCUGAUCCAGCCAUGCCGCGUGUGUGAAGAAGGUCUUCGGAUUGUAAAGCACUUUAAGUUGGGAGGAAGGGCAGUAAGUUAAUACCUUGCUGUUUUGACGUUACCAACAGAAUAAGCACCGGCUAACUUCGUG
This 483-nucleotide ribosomal RNA is filed under the name uncultured bacterium. RNAcentral describes it as "partial 16S ribosomal RNA". It matches the Rfam family "Bacterial small subunit ribosomal RNA", at positions 30 to 507 of the family's 1533-position model. The record is from RNAcentral.